UAUUUUAUAUUUUAUGCAGAAUAUUAAAUUGCAAGUUUAAAGGAAUAAGUAACUUUAUUAAAAUAA
This 66-nucleotide transfer RNA is filed under the name Paracladura trichoptera. RNAcentral's name for it is "tRNA-Cys". The record is from RNAcentral. Lineage: Eukaryota; Metazoa; Arthropoda; Insecta; Diptera; Trichoceridae.